GUAACCCUUACUGUAUAAGGGGUGGUCGGGUACUGAAAAUCCCCGUGUCGGCGGUUCAAUUCCGUCCCUGGCCACCA
Molecule: transfer RNA, 77 nt
Filed under: FCB group bacterium
Lineage: Bacteria; Pseudomonadati
Description: tRNA-Phe
Source: RNAcentral